ACGAGUGUAGUUAAGUGGUUAUAUCGUCUUCCUUCCAAGAAGAAAUCGUCAGUUCGAAUCUGAUCACUCGUA
Molecule: transfer RNA, 72 nt
Filed under: Phellinus viticola
Lineage: Eukaryota; Fungi; Basidiomycota; Agaricomycetes; Hymenochaetales; Hymenochaetaceae
Description: Fuscoporia viticola tRNA-Gly
Rfam family: tRNA
About the family: Transfer RNA (tRNA) molecules are approximately 80 nucleotides in length. Their secondary structure includes four short double-helical elements and three loops (D, anti-codon, and T loops).
Source: RNAcentral